RNAcentral lists this ribosomal RNA (498 nucleotides) under uncultured Chitinimonas sp. Its description in RNAcentral is "bacterial SSU rRNA". It matches the Rfam family "Bacterial small subunit ribosomal RNA", at positions 521 to 1020 of the family's 1533-position model. The record is from RNAcentral. Lineage: Bacteria; Pseudomonadati; Pseudomonadota; Betaproteobacteria; Neisseriales; Chitinibacteraceae.
UAAUACGUAGGGUGCAAGCGUUAAUCGGAAUUACUGGGCGUAAAGCGUGCGCAGGCGGCUGAUUAAGCUUGAUGUGAAAUCCCCGGGCUCAACCUGGGAACUGCAUUGAGGACUGGUCGGCUAGAGUGUGGCAGAGGGAGAUGGAAUUCCACGUGUAGCAGUGAAAUGCGUAGAGAUGUGGAGGAACACCGAUGGCGAAGGCAGUCUCCUGGGCCAACACUGACGCUCAUGCACGAAAGCGUGGGAGCAAACAGGAUUAGAUACCCUGGUAGUCCACGCCCUAAACGAUGUCUACUAGUUGUCGGGAGGGAGACCCUUUUGGUAACGCAGCUAACGCGUGAAGUAGACCGCCUGGGGAGUACGGUCGCAAGAUUAAAACUCAAAGGAAUUGACGGGGGCCCGCACAAGCGGUGGAUUAUGUGGAUUAAUUCGAUGCAACGCGAAAACCUUACCUACCCUUGACAUGCCACUAACGAAGCAGAGAUGCCUUAGGUGCUC